GACGGGGGCCCGCACAAGCGGUGGAGCAUGUGGUUUAAUUCGAUGAUACGCGAGGAACCUUACCUGGGCUCAAAUGUAUGUUGACGUAUUCUGAAAGGGAUACUUCUUCGGACAAUAUACAAGGUGCUGCAUGGUUGUCGUCAGCUCGUGCCGUGAGGUGUCGGGUUAAGUCCCAUAACGAGCGCAACCCCUAUCAUUAGUUGCCAUCAGGUCAAGCUGGGGACUCUAAUGAAACUGCCUACGCAAGUAGUGAGGAAGGUGGGGAUGACGUCAAAUCAGCACGGCCCUUACGUCCAGGGCUACACACGUGCUACAAUGGCCGGUACAGAGCGCAGCGAAGCCGCGAGGCAAAGCGAAUCGCAAAAAGCCGGUCUCAGUACGGAUUGGAGUCUGAAACCCGACUCCAUGAAGUUGGAAUCGCUAGUAAUCGCGCAUCAGCAUGGCGCGGUGAAUACGUUCCCGGGCCUU
RNAcentral lists this ribosomal RNA (468 nucleotides) under uncultured Sphingobacteriales bacterium. RNAcentral's name for it is "bacterial SSU rRNA". It matches the Rfam family "Bacterial small subunit ribosomal RNA", at positions 912 to 1382 of the family's 1533-position model. Lineage: Bacteria; Pseudomonadati; Bacteroidota; Sphingobacteriia; Sphingobacteriales. The record is from RNAcentral.